RNAcentral lists this transfer RNA (83 nucleotides) under Chelonia mydas (Green sea turtle). It matches the Rfam family "tRNA". From Rfam's summary of the family: Transfer RNA (tRNA) molecules are approximately 80 nucleotides in length. Their secondary structure includes four short double-helical elements and three loops (D, anti-codon, and T loops). Lineage: Eukaryota; Metazoa; Chordata; Testudines; Cheloniidae. The record is from Rfam by way of RNAcentral.
GUCAGGUUGGCCGAGCGCUCCAAGGAGCUGCGUUAAGGUAGCAGUCUCCCCCUGAGACGUGGGUUCGAAUCCCACCCCUGACA